CCACUUGAAAAUGUUUAACUAAUAGUUCAUAAUAAAUCUGAAAAAGGGAAUUCUCCUCAUACCCUCCUACCUCUCCCUCUUCUUUUUCUCUUCCUCCUCCCUCUUCUCUCCCCCCUCCUUCCUCCUCCUCUCCUGCCUCCUUCCUCUCUCUUUCUCCUUGCCGUUAUCUUUUGAGCCACAAAAUGGCCAACUGGCUUACAGCAGGGCAGCAUUGACAGUUCCCCAUUCUGUGCAAACACCUUUGGAGCGAAUCCUGUGGCAGGGAAGAGAGAGCAACUAGCUUCCUGAAGUCUCAGCCGGGUCUGUUAAUGAACGCUGCUGGCACUGUAAUUUACAGAUGGGAUUAUGACAUUCCCACCUCUACUCAGGUCCUGCUUCCUCAACUCUCAGAGGCCGAUGAGUUGGAUUGCAUUUGUGUGAAGGUUUUUCUCACCACAACCAAAUAAGAAGAAGACAUCAAAACAGGAAGCAAGAUGAGGAUCCAGAAAGCACACGUGGAGCCUGUCAUGGCUCCAGCUCCAUUCUGUCCCCAUUGUGUGAAUCCUGCCAUGAGCAACACGCCAUCCAUCAGCCCCUCCCAACCCACCCUAAUGGAGUCUUCCUUUUCACCUCCUCCUGGAUCUCCAGGGCAGCUUUUCACUCGCCCUUCAUCAGUGAACUUCAUGGAACGGCUCUCAGAAUAUUCUACCAACCCCGUAUUUUCUGGAACAUUGUAGUGAGCUUCAUGCAGAUUGUUGAUCUCUGUGCUCCAAAGAGCUCAGCAAAUUCCCCAGGCUCAGCCCAUGUGCUCUCGACUUUUCUAAUGUCCACCUUGAGACUUAUCUAUCCCUAAAAAUAAUUUAAAAGCACAGGAAAGGAUAAGGUGGAGAAGAAAACCCAAGAAGAGCAAAUUUACUCCUUCUGUGUUUACUGAGUAAAAAUCUAAACAGCCCUAGGGCUCCACCAAACAAGGGUGAGACUGACACAAUGAUUUAAAUGACAUGGUCAAACAAAUAAAUAAAAAGGCGUAAAGGGGAGGUUUGAUAUC
RNAcentral lists this long non-coding RNA (1027 nucleotides) under Mus spicilegus (steppe mouse). RNAcentral describes it as "lncRNA (ENSMSIG00000021236.1)". Lineage: Eukaryota; Metazoa; Chordata; Mammalia; Rodentia; Muridae. The record is from RNAcentral.